AUUGAACGCUGGCGGCAUGAUUUACACAUGCAAGUCGAACGGUAACAGGCCGCCAGUUGCUGACGAGUGGCGAACGGGUGAGUAAUGCAUCGGAACGUGCCCAGUCGUGGGGGUUAACUACUCGUAAGAGUAGCUAAUACCGCAUACGAUCUAUGGUUGAAAGCGGGGGACCGUAAUGCCUCGCGCGAUUGGAUCGGCCGAUGUCAGAUUAGGUAGUUGGUGGGGUAAAGGCUCACCAAGCCAACGAUCUGUAGCUGGUCUGAGAGGACGACCAGCCACACUGGGGCUGAGACACGGCCAAGACUACUACGGGAGGCAGCAGUGGGGAAUUUUGGACAAUGGGCGCAAGCCUGAUCCAGCAAUGCCGCGUGCAGGAAGAAGGCCUUCGGGUUGUAAACUGCUUUUGUACGGAACGAAACGGCUCUGGUUAAUACCCGGGGCUAAUGACGGUACCGGAAGAAUAAGCACCGGCUAACUACGUG
Molecule: ribosomal RNA, 482 nt
Filed under: uncultured bacterium
Lineage: Bacteria
Description: partial 16S ribosomal RNA
Rfam family: Bacterial small subunit ribosomal RNA
Source: RNAcentral